This 313-nucleotide long non-coding RNA is filed under the name Triticum aestivum (bread wheat). RNAcentral describes it as "long non-coding RNA (TAES_LNC014623)". Lineage: Eukaryota; Viridiplantae; Streptophyta; Magnoliopsida; Poales; Poaceae. The record is from RNAcentral.
UGGCCGCUGUGCCUCGAGUUCCUGCGGAGCGGCAAGAUCGACGUGAAGCCGCUCAUCACGCACAGGUUCGGCUUCUCGCAGGGGGAGGUGGAGGAGGCCUUCGAGGUCAGCGCGCGCGGCCGCGACGCCAUCAAGGUCAUGUUCAACCUCUAGACCUCGAGACCGCUACUGUUGCUAGGGAUUCAAGCCGUGCUUGAACUGGAGCUGCGAGCGUGUCCGCGUGCGCGCGGUGUGUUGUGUGUCGUGAAAUAAAAUAAAAUGGCUGUGCAGACUGAUUUCUAUCAUGAAACUGGGAUGUCAGGAAUCGUUCGAG